CCUACGGGUGGCAGCAGUAGGGAAUCUUCCACAAUGGGCGAAAGCCUGAUGCAGCAACGCCGCGUGGGUGAAGAAGGUCUUCGGAUCGUAAAACUCUGUUGUUAGAGAAGAAAGGGCGUGAGAGUAACUGUUCACGUUUCGACGGUAUCUAACAAGAAAGCCACGGCUAACUACGUGCCCGCAGCCGCGGUAAUACGUCGGUGGCAUGCGUUGUCCGGAUUUAUUGGGCGUAAAGGGAACGCAGGCGGUCUUUUAAGUCUGAUGUGAAAGCCUUCGGCUUAACCGGAGUAGUGCAUUGGAAACUGGGAGACUUGAGUGCAGAAGAGGAGAGUGGAACUCCAUGUGUAGCGGUGAAAUGCGUAGAUAUAUGGAAGAACCCCGGUGGCGAAAGCGGCUCUCUGGUCUGUAACUGACGCUGAGGUUCGAAAGCGUGGGUAGCAAACAGGAUUAGAUACCCUUGUAGUC
Molecule: ribosomal RNA, 465 nt
Filed under: uncultured bacterium
Lineage: Bacteria
Description: partial 16S ribosomal RNA
Rfam family: Bacterial small subunit ribosomal RNA
Source: RNAcentral